Non-coding RNA from Danio rerio (zebrafish), 376 nucleotides. Lineage: Eukaryota; Metazoa; Chordata; Actinopteri; Cypriniformes; Danionidae. The record is from RefSeq and is a predicted model, not a curated record.
UUUCCAUGCAUCCUCUGUCCAUUAAUGUGUGAUGCUGGCGAUCCUCUUCAGCUUCGCUUUGACCUGCGUUCUCAUGUGUGCUGUUUUGAUGGUUGUUUUUUCACUCUUCUCCUGUCCUGCAUGCGGAUGUCUGUGUGUUUCUGGUGUUGUUUCUGCUGAGGUUAAUCUGGCAUGUUCUCUCCUCCUGUCCCGUGUCCAGGACCCUGCAGUGGGACUCUGACCCCUCUGUUCUCCAGCUGCAGGCUGACUCUGAGCUCGGACGCCGGUCACACAGAUUGGGACCUUCUAAAAUUACUCAGGUGGACUUCUUGCCCAGAGAAGUGGUUUCCUACUGUAAAGAGACUCAGACACCGAACGCCGCUCAUCACUCUGAAGG